AACGAACGCUGGCGGCAGGCCUAACACAUGCAAGUCGAACGCUGCAGCAAUGCAGAGUGGCAGACGGGUGAGUAACGCGUGGGAAUCUUCCUAUCGGUACGGAAUAGCUCAGGGAAACUUGGGGUAAUACCGCAUACGCCUACGGGAAAGGAUUAUCGCCGAUAGAUGAGCCCGCGUCUGAUUAGCUAGUUGGUGAGGUAACGGCUCACCAAGCGACGANCAGUAGCUGGUCUGAG
This 236-nucleotide ribosomal RNA is filed under the name uncultured bacterium. RNAcentral describes it as "partial 16S ribosomal RNA". It matches the Rfam family "Bacterial small subunit ribosomal RNA", at positions 29 to 296 of the family's 1533-position model. The record is from RNAcentral.